RNAcentral lists this ribosomal RNA (495 nucleotides) under uncultured bacterium. RNAcentral's name for it is "partial 16S ribosomal RNA". It matches the Rfam family "Bacterial small subunit ribosomal RNA", at positions 28 to 507 of the family's 1533-position model. The record is from RNAcentral.
GACGAACGCUGGCGGCGUGCCUAAUACAUGCAAGUAGAACGCUGAAGGGGGAGCUUGCUUCUCCGGAUGAGUUGCGAACGGGUGAGUAACGCGUAGGUAACCUGCCUGGUAGCGGGGGAUAACUAUUGGAAACGAUAGCUAAUACCGCAUAAUAGUAGAUGUUGCAUGACAUUUGCUUAAAAGGUGCAAUUGCACCACUACCAGAUGGACCUGCGUUGUAUUAGCUAGUUGGUGGGGUAACGGCUCACCAAGGCGACGAUACAUAGCCGACCUGAGAGGGGGAUCGGCCACACUGGGACUGAGACACGGCCCAGACUCCUAAGGGAGGCAGCAGUAGGGAAUCUUCGGCAAUGGACGGAAGUCUGACCGAGCAACGCCGAGUGAGAGAAGAAGGAUUUCGGAUCGUAAAGCUCUGUUGUAAGAGAAGAACGAGUGUGAGAGUGGAAAGUUCACACUGUGACGGUAUCUUACCAGAAAGGGACGGCUAACUACGUG